UCAUUAUUAACAUUCUGUAUAUAAUUCAAUUUUAUUUACUCUCCCCUUUUUAUUAUUUUUAUUUUUAUUUUUAGCUGAAAAGACGUAAAGGCAGUCAGCCCAGUGGUGUUUCUGGAGAGGGAUUCCUUCAGAAAUGGAGAAGACAGAAAGCUGCGGAGGCAGAUAUAUGCAGCAUGUUCAAGUGAGCAUGAUGACCACAAGUGUGUGUCGAACUUUUCAUGACCUGAUGACUGUGUUUCCCAAUCCUGAUCCUGGAGAACCCCAGCACUGCACGGUUUUGGUGUCUCUCUUAUCUGCCUUGGAGUCUUCACUGAUGAGCUGAUGAGUUGAAUCAGGUCUAAAAUAUCAAGCUCAACAACUCACUCAAGAGCCAACCCUCACAAACCUUCCUAAAAACUAAAAGAGCUAUUACUGAGUCUCAGCGAAUCUUGCCAUGAUCAGCUCUUCCCAGAGUAAGUAGAGAUUAUCUUGUUUCACGGAAGAGAAGGAAGACCAAGGAAAUGAUUUGCUCAGGAUGAGGAAUGAAGAUGGCCAUCUUGUGCUCAAACAAACAGAAGUCCUCUGAUGAUCUCAUCAGCCAUAUGAGGGGUUUUGACCAAGUGAUGCUCUUGAAAGGAGUGAAAGAAGAGGAUGUGGUAAAUUGUCUUCAGAGAAAAAGCUUCUCAAAAGGUCUUAAAGCAGCUUGAAGAAUGGUCUGGGAUCUUAGGACUGAGAGAUCCUCUGGCUGAGAACAAGCUACACCACAUCAGUGCUGGAUAUCAACCACAAACUGUUUCCAGACACGAGAGAAGAAGAACACGAUGGGGAGAUGAAACCAGUUUAGAUGUGAUGAUGGGAAUCAUUAUUUUCUGGAACAGUAUCACAUGUCUUAUAUGUAUCACAUGAUCUGUAUCACAGUUGACUGGAUGGGACUGUGUGACUUUUAAGGACAUUUCAUCACUCAUCUGUGUGAACUUUAUAUAUGAGGUUAAUGUAUUUUUGAUGAUAAUUAUUUUCAUUGAAUCUUAUUUGUCUUGAUGCUACUUUAUCAACUUUAUAGUCUAUGCUUCAAUAAAAUGAAAAUGGUGAAUAUUGUGUUCUGAAGAUUCUUGGUAAAUACAUCAUUUUACUAGGUAGGCUCAUAUGUGUUUAUUUUAGACUUGGAAAAACAACAUAUUAAUUAUUGGGAUUAUUUUUUUAUUUAAGACAUAAACAUUUUUGAUCGGAUUAAUAACAUCUGGGACAUCAGUACACCAGAAAGUAAUUUUUUUAUAUUUUAGUAACAAAUAUGCACAUUUUUUAGUGAAAUAAAGGGAGUUACGGGAUUAAUUAUUCUGCAUUACAAGAUGGUGCCAUGGGCUUUAUUAUUACAAACACUUGAGGGAUAACUGAGAAUGUAGCAGGAAUGAUCAAUGGGAUAUUG
Carassius gibelio (silver crucian carp) is the source of this 1402-nucleotide long non-coding RNA. RefSeq lists it as uncharacterized. The transcript has 6 exons. NCBI's taxonomy places the organism in Eukaryota, Metazoa, Chordata, Actinopteri, Cypriniformes, Cyprinidae. The record is from RefSeq and is a predicted model, not a curated record.